RNAcentral lists this long non-coding RNA (4023 nucleotides) under Homo sapiens (human). RNAcentral describes it as "HSALNT0402299". Lineage: Eukaryota; Metazoa; Chordata; Mammalia; Primates; Hominidae. The record is from RNAcentral.
GAAGAGAUGGAGGGGCUGAUAAGAGGCCCUGUGCUGGGCUUCUGUGCCUGGUGCCAGCCUGCACAAGCUGGGGGAAGGCAGUCUGCCCAGGGGUCCCAUGUCCCAGGGCUGGGAGAUCCCUGGGGCCAGGGAGGACCAUGCUGGCCGGUGCUCCCACUCGCUGGCUGGCUUCAGGAAAUAGGGGUUCAGUAAUGCCCAGGGCAUCUGCAGGAGGUGGGUGUGGGUCGGUCUGGGCAGAUGGCUGGGAGUUGGGUGGAAUCUGGAGCCCAUGGGGGUCUAGACCCAGCCUUUGCUGAUGGAGGUCUUCGCUGCCGAUGGAGGUCCUAGCUGCCGAUGGAGGUCCUAGCUGCCGAUGGAGGUCCUAGGUGCCGAUGGAGGUCCUAGCUGCUGAUGGAGGUCCUAGGUGCUGAGGGAGAUCCUAGCUGCUGAUGGAGGUCCUAAGUAGGCCACAGAGGCACUCUGAGCCUCAACUUCGUGGGGGCUUGGUGAGGCUCAGAGAAGGCAGAGCAAGGGAAAGUUGUUUGGAGGGCAUGUGGGCAUUGCCGGGGCUCUGCCCAGUAUCCACCACAUCUCCUAGGAGCAGCCCUGAAUCCUUCUUUGGGAACUACCCAUAGGCUGGUACUAGGCUGAGCCCAUCUCUUGCCCCAAAUAGGGCAUGUGACUGGGACCUGGGCAUCACUCAUUGCCUAGCCAUAAUCAGUCAGAUCGUACUUGGGCCCUUCAUGGACCCCAGGUCUGAGCUGGGAUGUCAGCCUGGAGGUGCCAUGCCAAGGGCAAGGGCUGUCUGAGAGGACAGCAGGCUGAGCCCAGGGUGGGGACACCAGUUUUGAUGGUAGCCGUCGGGCUCCUGGAUCCAACCAUGCCUGAAGGAGAUGGCACCACCAGUGUACUCUCAGAUGCAGGCAAAGUUUCCAUCCUGGUAAAUGAAGUGUCCUGAGCCAUCUGCCCACCUCGCCACACAGGGAGAGGACGGCCACAUGUCCCAACAGGUCUCUGACUCCCUCCUCUCCUCAUCAGGGCAUUCCGGGCUGGGGUCACCCUUCAGAAGAGCACACAGGUGGGCACUCAAGAUGCACACCAAGGAGCCCCAGAUGUUUCCACCAGGGUCUUUCCACCACUGGCUCAUCCAGUGCUGCAUAGGUGGGACACAGAGCCCAGGGGAUGGAGGAGUCGCCCAGUGACCUCACCGUGCAUCCCUUGGGCACUCCCAUCUCUGCUUGGAUCAGCUAAGCAACUCCAGAAAAAGUGAGAGGAUGAUGGGAUGCCAGGAAGAGGCAGAUCCAGGUGAGGUUGGCCAGUGUAGGGGAGGGUCAGGGGGAUGCACCAGGGUAACAAGCACUCCGGGGAUGUGGACCGUCAUUCCCUCAGGGCCUUGGGGAGAGACCAGAUGGCCCCAUCAUGUCCUGCAAAGACAGCCUCUGACCUGGGUCUAGGAGCUGCGCCUCCAUCAUCCUCCAUCAAGGCCCGGCGCUGCCCCCUGCUCAUGCCCUUGGUCUGGCCCGGGACCUCGGGUUCCCAGCUGCAGCCAGGACGCACCCAUGCCACUUUGGUGGGUUCCAAGCAAAGCUACGUGAGGCCCUACAAAGCCCUUCGGUCCCAGGCACUCUCCCCUGCUCCCCCAGGGACAGCCCAGGUGGGACAGCUUGUUCCCUUGUUUUCUGGUUGUGUGUGUGAGUGGAAGUGUGUGUGGCAGAGUGUGUGUGUGAGAGUGUGAAUGUGAGUGUGUAGUGUGUGUGUGGCAUUGUGGGAGUGUGUGUGGAAGUGUGAAUGAAUGUGUGUGUGAAUGGAAGAGUGUGGAAUUGGGGGAAGUGUAUGAGUGAGCGUGUGUGAAAGUGUUAGUGUGUGUGAGUGGAAAUGUGUGUGAGUGGAAUUGGAGUGUGUGCGUGUGUGGAAGUGAAUGAGUGUGAGUGUGUGAGUGGAAGAGUGUGUGGAAUUGGGAGUGUGUGUGUAUGGGUGUGUUGAGGGUGUGAGUAUGGAAGUGAGUUUGUGUGUAUGUGUGACUGUGUGAGCAUAAGUAUGUGGAAUGGGGGAAGUGUGUGAGAGUGAGUGUGUGUGGAAUGGGGAAGUGUGAGAGUGAGUGUGUGUGUGGAAUGGGGAAGUGUGUGAGAGUGAGUGUGUGUGGAAUGGGGGAAGUGUGUGAGAGUGAGUGUGUGUGGAAUGGGGGAGUGUGUGAGAGUGUGUGUGGAAUGGGGGAGUGUGAGAGUGUGUGUGUGUGGAAUUGGGGAAGUGUGUGUGUGAGUGUGUGUGUGGAAUGGGGGAAGUGUGUGAGAGUGAGUGUGUGUGUGGAAUGGGGGAAGUGUACGUGUUUGUGAGUGUGUGUGGAAUGGGGAGAAUGUACGUGUUUGUGAGUGUGUGAGUGUGGAAUAGGGAAGUGUGUAUGUGUUUGUGUGUGUGUGGAAUGGGGAGAAAUGUGUGUGUUUGAGUGUGAGUGUGUGAGUGUGGAAUGGGGAAGUGUGUAUGUGUUUGUGUGUGUGGAAUUGAGGAGAAGUGUGUGAGAGUGAGUGUGUGUGUGGAAUGGGGGAGUGUGUGAGAGUGUGUGUGUGGAAUGGGGGAGUGUGUGAGUGGAAUGGGGAAGUGAGUGUGUGUGGAAUGGGGGAAGUGUGUACGUGUUUGAGUGUGUGUGGAAUGGGGAGAAUGUACGUGUUUGUGAGUGUGUGAGUGUGGAAUGGGGAAGUGUGUAUGUGUUUGUGUGUGUGGAAUGGGGAGAAAUGUGUGUGUAUUUGAGUGUGAGUGUGUGAGUGUGGAAUGGGGAAGUGUGUAUGUGUGUGUGGAAUUGAGAAGUGUGUGAGAGUGAGUGUGUGUGGAAUGGGGACAAGUGUGUAUGUGUUUGAGUGUGACUGUGUGUGUGUGUGGAAUUGGAGAAGUGUGUGUGAGUGUGAGUGUGGAAUGGGGAAGUGUGUGUUUGUGUGGAAUUGAGGGGAAGUGUGUGUGAGUAUGUGUGAAUUGAGGGGAAGUGUGUACGUAUUUGAGUGUGAGUGUGUGGGGAAUGGGGGGAAGUAUGUUUGAACGUAUGAGUCUUUGAGUGAGUGUGUGCGGGAUGAGUGUGUGUGUUGAGUGUGGGGGAUGAGUGUGUGAGUGUGUGGGAUGAGUGUGUGUUGAGUGUGUGGGGGGUGAGUGUGUGGGUGUGUGGGAUAAGUGUGGAGUGUGUGUGAGUGUGGGUGAAUGUGUGGGUGUGUGUGAGUGUUGAGUGUGUGAGUGUGUGGGAUGAGUGUGACUGAGUGUUGAGUGUGUGUGUUGAGUGUGUGAGUGUGUGUGGGGUGAGUGUGAGAGUGUUGAGUGUGUGAGUGUUGCGUGUGCGAGUGUGUGUGGGAUGAGUGUUGAGUGUGUGUGUGUAUGGAAAGGCGUGUGGGCAGCAAGUGACAGUGAUUCGUGCCCAGACCCAGGGGAGGGGAGUCUGCCUCUAGAGCAAUUGUCGCCCCCUGCCCUGGCUCAGGGCCUUGUGGAGGGAGGAACUGUUUCUCCCACCCUGACCUGUCCCUUGCAGGGCAGAAGGGGACAGUGUCAGUUUCCUCCCGACACCUCUGUCACAGCUCGCACCAAACACCCUCAGACACACCCGCAGACCCACAGACGCACGUGCACACACACAUAGCCCAGAGAGACACGCACAGACAUACCCGGAUGCACAGAGACGUGUACACUGACAGACGCAGACAUAGACACACGCACGCACACGCAUGCAUUCUUUGCCUGCUGCUUGGGAGCCCCCAUCCUUCCUCCCCCAGCACACGGGGGCGGCCACAUUCACUGGGUCCCGGCCCCAGCACUGAUCAAAGCUGGGUUAGUUUUUCCAGCAGGCACCAGGUCCCCAGGAGCUGCCCUGGAUCUGCGGGACUCCAGGGAGUCAACAGAGAGGGUCGUCCCCGUCCCUGUCCCCAUCUCUGUCCUCGUCCUCGUAGGGCCCAGACUCCCCCUCCAGGACGAGGCUCCCUGAGCCCACCUGCACUGCUCAGCUCCUCCACGUGGCGCCUCUUCCCGACCUUCUGCAGGGGAAGAGGACCCAAGGCUCCAGGAGGGGUCAGG